Molecule: transfer RNA, 73 nt
Organism: Fragilariopsis cylindrus CCMP1102
Lineage: Eukaryota; Bacillariophyta; Bacillariophyceae; Bacillariales; Bacillariaceae
Rfam family: tRNA
About the family: Transfer RNA (tRNA) molecules are approximately 80 nucleotides in length.
Source: Rfam
ACCCGGUUAGCUCAGUUGGAAGAGCGCUCGACUUUUAAUCGUGUGGUCGUGGGUUCAAUCCCCACAUCGGGUG